GCCGUUAAGUCUUGACGAGUAAGAGGGUCGCGACGGUGAGCGCAGAAGGGUCAGGGCGAGAGCCUGCCUGGAGCCGCCGUUGGUGCAGAUCUUGGUGGUAGUAGCAAAUACUCUAGCGAGGGCCUGGAGGACUGACGUGGAGAAGGGUUUCUUGUGAACAGCCGUUGCACAAGAGUCAGUCGACCCUGAGCCCUAGGAGAAAUCCGAUGACGAUGGGUGGCUUGACAACACAACAAUCCACAGACUGUUUUUAGCGUGAACUGACUGUUGAGUAAGUUUGACACUAAACAGCUCCUAUCGGGCAAAAGGGAAUCCGGUUCCUAUUCCGGAACCCGGCUGCGUAACCGCUACUUUGCGGGCACUUGCUUGCGAGCGCUCGUCGGGGUAACCCAAACUGGCCUGGAGACGCCGGCGGGGGGUCUGGAAAGAGUUUUCUUUUCUUUAUAAGCGUUCGAGUACCCUGGAAUCCUAUAGCAGGGAGAUAGGGUUUGGAACGCGAAGAGCACCGCAGUUGCGGCGGUGUUCGGACCUUCCCCCCGGACCUUGAAAAUCCAGGUGAGGGCCACGCGGAAGUCGCGCCGG
This 582-nucleotide ribosomal RNA is filed under the name Perkinsiella saccharicida. Its description in RNAcentral is "eukaryotic LSU rRNA". It matches the Rfam family "Eukaryotic large subunit ribosomal RNA", at positions 1363 to 1840 of the family's 3401-position model. Lineage: Eukaryota; Metazoa; Arthropoda; Insecta; Hemiptera; Delphacidae. The record is from RNAcentral.